AGAGCUCGUAGGUGGUUUGUCGCGUUGUUCGUGAAAUCUCACGGCUUAACUGUGAGCGUGCGGGCGAUACGGGCAGACUAGAGUACUGCAGGGGAGGCUGGAAUUCCUGGUGUAGCGGUGGAAUGCGCAGAUAUCAGGAGGAACACCGGUGGCGAAGGCGGGUCUCUGGGCAGUAACUGACGCUGAGGAGCGAAAGCGUGGGGAGCGAACAGGAUUAGAUACCCUGGUAGUCCACGCCGUAAACGGUGGGUACUAGGUGUGGGUUUCCUUCCUUGGGAUCCGUGCCGUAGCUAACGCAUUAAGUACCCCGCCUGGGGAGUACGGCCGCAAGGCUAAAACUCAAAGGGAUUGACGGGGGCCCGCACAAGCGGCGGAGCAUGUGGAUUAAUUCGAUGCAACGCGAAGAACCUUACCUGGGUUUGACAUGCACAGGACGCGUCUAGAGAUAGGCGUUCCCUUGUGGCCUGUGUGCAGGUGGUGCAUGGCUGUCGUCAGCUCGUGUCGUGAGAUGUUGGGUUAAGUCCCGCAACGAGCGCAACCCUUGUCUCAUGUUGCCAGCGGGUAAUGCCGGGGACUCGUGAGAGACUGCCGGGGUCAACUCGGAGGAAGGUGGGGAUGACGUCAAGUCAUCAUGCCCCUUAUGUCCAGGGCUUCACACAUGCUACAAUGGCCGGUACAAAGGGCUGCGAUGCCGUAAGGUUAAGCGAAUCCUUUUAAAGCCGGUCUCAGUUCGGAUUGGGGUCUGCAACUCGACCCCAUGAAGUCGGAGUAGCUAGUAAU
Molecule: ribosomal RNA, 780 nt
Filed under: uncultured Mycobacterium sp.
Lineage: Bacteria; Bacillati; Actinomycetota; Actinomycetes; Mycobacteriales; Mycobacteriaceae
Description: bacterial SSU rRNA
Rfam family: Bacterial small subunit ribosomal RNA
Source: RNAcentral